Molecule: long non-coding RNA, 205 nt
Filed under: Vitis vinifera (wine grape)
Lineage: Eukaryota; Viridiplantae; Streptophyta; Magnoliopsida; Vitales; Vitaceae
Description: long non-coding RNA (VVIN_LNC006660)
Source: RNAcentral
UAGGUUACGAUAUACCUAGAGGAGGGGAAUAGGUGUUUACUUCUUUUAACCUAAAUCUUUUAAAUUUAAUUAUUCUUUAAUAUUUACAAAUUAGAAAAAGAAAUCAAUUGAACUAAGAGAUAAUGAUUUUUCAUAUGAAAAACCACCUGCACAAUCUAAUGGAGGCUAUGUGAAUGUAAAAACCAUAGGUCAAAAAACUAUAAAU